Molecule: non-coding RNA, 115 nt
Organism: Acanthosepion pharaonis
Lineage: Eukaryota; Metazoa; Mollusca; Cephalopoda; Sepiida; Sepiidae
Source: the annotation of a GenBank genome assembly
CUUGCGGCAAUAUCAUGGUGAAACACCAGUUCUCUUACGAUCAACAAAGUUAAGCAACGUCGGGCCUGGUUAGUACAUACAUGGGUGACCGUUUCGAACUACUAGGUUCUGCAAG